RNA transcript from Oncorhynchus kisutch (coho salmon), 29102 nucleotides. It is a transcript of the gene named nesprin-1, with no coding region annotated. NCBI's taxonomy places the organism in Eukaryota, Metazoa, Chordata, Actinopteri, Salmoniformes, Salmonidae. The transcript has 149 exons. The record is from RefSeq and is a predicted model, not a curated record.
GUGUCGGGAGUAGGAAGGGAUUGAGGCUGCGUUCCUGCAGCUAACCCCCAGCAGCUCAGCUCUGUGUUGUCACCGGGAAACAAGCGACCAUCCAGGCUGAGGCAGCCCAGAUCUGUUCUGCUUCCUGUCUGAAAUAAAAGGGAAAGGACCAGCUGUGGUUCCCCCUCUUUCCUCGGUUUCUUUUUCCACUGUGGAUGGACUGUCAUCCUCUGCUUAGACAAACAGACAGAUAGACAGACAGAGGCUCACAACAAGCUCACUAUGUGAAGGGCAUAAGGAGGGAGGUGGCGAGCAUGUGACUGGAGAAUGGCUCACUAUAAGGAUGUAACUGUCAAAAAGAGCUCUUCUCUUAACUUGGUGACGGGAUUCUUUCAGUAUCUCCGUGAUGAGCAAGAAGCAGUACAGAAGAGGACUUUUACUAAAUGGAUCAAUUCCCACUUGACAAAGCGUAAACCACCUCUAGAGGUCACCGACCUUUUCGAGGACAUCAAAGAUGGGGUGAAACUGUUAGCUCUAUUGGAGGUGCUGUCUGGACAGAGACUGCCGUGUGAGCAGGGCCGCCAGUUGAAGAGGAUCCACUGGGUAUCCAACAUCGGCACCGCCCUCAGGUUCCUAGAAGGCAGGAAGUCUGUGUACCGAGGAUCCCCGAUCAAGCUAGUCAACAUCCAUGCCACUGAUAUAGCAGACGGUCGACCAUCCAUUGUCCUGGGGUUGAUUUGGACUGUCAUCCUCUACUUCCAGAUCGAGGAGUUGACCAGUAACCUGCUAGCCCUGGAGGCCCUGUCCAGCAGCACCUCCUCAGUGGACAGCAUGGCCAGUAGCUCAGAGACAGGCAGUCCCGCCUUAAAGAGGGAGGUGGCACCCAAGAAGUUCCAGGGCAAUGCCAAGAAGGCCCUCCUCAGAUGGGUACAGAGCACUGCUGCCAAUGGUCAGGGCAUCGAGGUAAAGGACUUUGGUGCCAGUUGGCGUAGCGGUGUGGCGUUCCACUCUGUGGUCCAUGCCAUCCGCCCAGACCUGGUGGACAUGGAGGUGGUGAGGAGGAGGAGCAACCGGGAGAAUCUGGAGGAAGCCUUCUCAUUGGCCGAGAAUGAGCUGGGCAUACCACGCCUGCUGGACCCAGAAGACGUGGAUGUAGAUAAACCGGAUGAGAAGUCCAUCAUGACAUAUGUUGCUCAGUUCCUCAAGCACUAUCCCAACCCCCACCACUCUGAGACAGAUGGACAGGGAGAAGAGAGAGAAGAACGGAAGGUUCUGAGGGAGCUGAAGGUGUGGCUGGAACAGUUGGAGAGAGACGUGCUGCAAGUGCAGGGGGCAGAGGGCAACAUCACCGACAAGUACCAGGGCUUCAAGAGUUUCCGUGUGCAGUAUGAGAUAAAGAUGAAGCAGACAGAGCCGCUGCUGCAGCCGGUACACAAAGAUGGAAAGUUGUCUGUAGACCAGGCCCUGGUCAAGCAGGCGUGGGAACACAUCUCUAGCACGCUCCUGGACUGGCACAUCCAUCUGGAUAAGUCGUUGCCUGGCCCCCUGGGGGUGAUCGGAGCCUUGCUGCAUCGAGCUGAGAUCGCCCAGAGAGAGGAGAUUCCCAUCCAACAAGCCCAUGAAGAGACAGCCAAUGUGAUCCAGAGGAAGCUGGAACAGCACAAGGAGAUCCUGAAGAACUUGGAGUCCCACAAACAGACGUUCCAGCAGAUCCACCGAGAAAGAUCAGUAAACGGGGUCCCUGUCCCCCCCGAACAUCUCCAAGACAUGGCUGAAAGAUUCAAUUACGUGUCCACAUCAUCUUAUGCCCACCUGAUCAAACUGGAAUUCUGGGAGAUUAAGUACCGUCUGAUGGCGUUUCUCAUCCUGGCUGAGUCUAAGCUCAAGUCCUGGAUCAUCAAAUAUGGCCGCCGUGACUCUGUGGAACUACUGCUACAGAGCUACAUUACCUUCAUCGAGGGACACAUGUUCUUCGAACAGUAUGAGACAACAUUUAAGGCACUCAGGCAAUCUGCAGAUGUCUACGUCAAGUCUGAUGGUUCAUCUGAGGAAGCGGAGGGUGUGGGUAAGUUCCUGUCGGAUGCGUCGGCCCAGUGGAGGAACCUGUCGGUGGAGGUGCGUAGCGUCCGUAGCAUGCUGGAGGAGGUCAUCUCUAACUGGGAGAAGUACAGCAGUACGGUGGCCGGACUGCAGGCCUGGCUGGAGGACGCAGAGCAGAUGCUCAACCAGUCAGAGAAUGACAAACGGGACUUCUUCCGGAACCUUCCUCACUGGAUCCAGCAGCACCUGGACAUGAACGAUGCAGGGAACUUCCUGAUUGAGACGUGCGAUGAGACCGUCUCCAGAGACCUGAAGCAGCAGCUGCUCAUUCUCAACGGGAGGUGGAGGGAGCUGUUUGUUAAAGUCAAACAUUAUGCUAGAGUGGACGAGGUGGACAAGUGGAAGCAGGACUAUCAGGACUGUAUCGCUACUCUCAAAACUUUUAUGGAUGCAACCAAUGACAAGAUGACUGCCCCUGUCCAAGUGUCCUUCCUGAACGUCAGGACAUUCGUUCAAGAUGUUGAGGACAUCAAGAACAAGGUCCCGGCCAUGGAGGCAGCCUGUAAGACAGCCAGCCGCACCGCCCAGCUGCUGAUCAAAGACACGCCUGCGGAGGAGGUCUCUACCAUGCUGGCUGCCAUGGCUUCUAUCAAGGAGGAGAUGAGCAAGAUAAAGGAGCGGUCUCUGCCGCUGCUACGGGAUGCCCAGUCCCUGCUGCCUGCUCUGGAGGAGAUGGAGAAGAACAUCACAGGGUUCUACCAGGCCCUGGAGAAGGCCAGCCGCAUCACUUGCUCCAGGGACUCGGAGGCCCACGGGGACUUCAAACAGAAAUGCCAGGAGCUGGUGACCUUCACCCAGAGCUGUAAGAAGUGUCUGACUGUGAUAGAGAAUAACCAUCAGAGUGUCCAGAGAACCCUGGACAGCAGUAAGACCCUACAGCACCUGGACAUGGCCCUGCUGCAGAAGAGAGUCGCCGACCUCCAGGCCUCCUCACAGGCAAUGAUCAAUGAGUCUACUGAGUGGAAGAAUCACGUGGAGGUCAACAGCAGCUUAAUGAAGAGGUUUGAUGAGUCCCGUGGCGAGCUGGAGAAGGUGCUGAAAGUCGCUCAGGCUUUUUUAAAUGAGAGAGGCAACCCAGAAGAUCUGCUAAAAAGACACACGGAGUUCUUUGGGCAGCUGGAGCAGCAGGUCCUCGAUGCGUUCCUGAAGACCUGUGAUGAACUGACAGACACAGUGCCUAGGGAGGAGCAGCAGAGUCUGCAGGAGACAGUCAGGAAACUGCACAAACACUGGAAGGAUGUCCAGACAGAGGCUCCCUACCACCUGCUUCAUCUGAAGGUAGAGGUGGAACGGAGCAAGCUAAUGGUCUCCAUGCAGGAGUGUCAGUCAGAGCUGACCAGAGAGAACAGACACCUGGUUGGCAUGGGGAGUGAGAGGCUGAUCAAGGAACACAGGGACUUCUUCAGGGAGAAGGGUCCUCAGUCUCUGUGUGAGAAAAAACUACAACUGAUAGAGGAACUGUGUCAGAAGCUUCCAGACAGCAACCCAGCCCACCAGACCCUGGACAGCUCUAAGAAGGCCUACUCUGAGCUCUGGGAGGAGAUAGAUAGCACCCAUCACAAUCUGAUGCAGCACCCUGAUAAGUGGGAGGAGUUUAACAACAGGUUCUCCGAGUUGUCAGCCUGGCUUUCGUCUAAAGAGAGCCAACUCAGACUGCUCAGGGACAGAGCCAACGACCCCAGCAAGCACGGACAGGUCAAGGCCACCAUCACAGAGCUGAGGAACGAUGCAGAGCUGCAGGAGGGGAACCUGGGCUGGCUGAAGUCCCGGCUGGCUGUGCUGAUAGAGAUCUGCUCCGAGACGGAUGCACAGAGUCAGGCUGGGGCAAUCAAUAAACUUUCCACCAACUUCAAGGGCCUCCUCUCCUAUCUCACUGAGUCUGAGAAGGUGGUGCUGGCGGUGGGGGACUGUGUGCAGUUCAGGGAGGGGGUGCGUGGUGCACUGGAUGAGCUGGUGCAGGGUCAGCAGGAGGUACACCUGGAGGUGACCAGGAUACUGGACUCUGAGACCGUCAGGGAGGCCCAGCAAUUGCUCCAGAUUCACCAGCAACAACUGAAGCGUCUGCGUAUGAAGAGGAAGGAUGUGCGGCAGCAGAUUGCUAGGGGCCGUCAGCUACAGGCUGAGGAGGGGCUGGGGGAGACCUUACAGCUGGACCUGCAGAGUCUGGAGACAACACUCAGCAAGAUGGACCACACCAUGGACUCACAGGAGCAGGAGUUAGAGGUGACUCUGUCUUCGUGGCAGGAGUUUGACAGCCAGCAGAGGACAGUGCAGGAGUUUGUUACCAGGGCGCUCUCUGUCAUGGACAGAGACCUGAACUUUAGCAGCCCAGAAAGCCUGGCUACUGAACUGGACCAGGCCAGGGUGCUUUUAAAGCAGAGUGAAGCAGAAGCCUGCAUGGUGAACACCCUGUUGAGGAAAGCAGCAGAGAUCCAGCUUGGCCCAAAGAACACCACCUUGCUACUGGAGCAAGCCCGCUCCCUCAGCGAACAGCUGGACAAAGUGGAGGCUGGCCUCAAGGAAGACACCAAGGCUCUUGAUGGGAUGAAGAAUCAGUGGGCCCGGUUUGGGACAGAGUUUGAGGCCUUCUCCUCAUGGAUCUCUGACAAAGAGAAAGAAAUGGACGCUCUAAAGAGUUCUGCUGCUCCACUUGGACAACAGAUCAACACAGUAAAGGCCGUGGGUGUGGAGCUGGGGGACAAGGCAGAGGUGUUAUCCCAGCUAGAGGCCCACUCCCAGGCCCUGGCCCAGUUCAUCUCCUCUGGGGAGGCAGCCCGUAUCAAGGCUCGGCUCACCCAGAUCGGCAGAUACUGGGAGGAGCUCAGGGAGAGUGUGGAGCAGCUAGAAGGACUGCUGCAGGAGAGCUCCUCCACACAGCACCGCUUCAACACCAGCCUGGAAGAGGCCAAAACAACACUUGGUGAUCUCCAUAAGAAACUGGACCAUCCUGUCACUUCCUGUACCUCCUCGUCAGAGACCUACAAAUGUCUCCAGAACCACAUGGAUGUGUCCCAGAGCUUGGAGAGCCUGAAGGCAGCCUUGUUGCCCCUGUCUGCUGGGGCACGUAGACUCAGAGACAGGGAGCAGGCUGAGAGGGCCGUGGCAGCUCUACAGACCAGCUAUGACCAGAGUCUAGGGCAGGCCAAAGAAAAACAGAACACACUGGAGAAAGUGCUGUCUCUAUGGCAAAAGUAUGAGAAGGAUCGUUCUAGCUUUGUAUCCUGCUUGGAGAGAUGUGAGUCUACAUCCAAACCUGAGAGCCAUUGCCUGCCUGCAGAUAAAACCAAGCUGGAGAGUGAGCUGCAGGACCUGCAGAACUUGCAGUCUGAGGUGGUGUCGCUGGAGCCCCUCCAUGCUGGCCUGGUGGCCUCAGGGACAUCCCUGUACCCCACCGCCCCAGAGGAGAAGGCAAGGCAGCUCAGUGAUGACCUGGAGCAGCUGAAGAAGAGAUGGAACUCCCAGAAUGAACUCAUCCCUCACAGAAUCAAGGAGCUCCAGAGCCAGCUGUUCCAGGUGGAGCAGUUUGACCAGUCCUUGUUGAAGUUCUCUCAGUGGUCUGAGAAUCUCUUCUCCACCCUCCACUCAACCUCCCUGGUCAACAUCACUGACCUGCAGCCUGCUGUGGCCCAAGUCAAGGAAACACUAGCGGCUCUUCAGAAGCAGAGUGGUGUGAGGGAGAGCUUGGAGCUCCAGGCAGAGGGGCUGUGUGCCUCGUGUGAACCCCAGGAUGCUCAGCUCCUCCAGGGGAGACAGGUCAACAGCCUACAGCCCUACCUGGAGGUCCAGCAGCUGGCUGAGCUCCGGCUGGACUGCCUGGGGAAGCUGGAGGCCUUCUUGGAGACCCACGGUGCGGCUGUGGGGGUACUACGAGGCUUGAGGAAUACGGUGGAGAGUUCAGGGAGCUGGGACCAUGGUCGGGUGGAGGAACUACAGAGAGAACUGGAGGCCAUCGUCCCAGACAUCAGCAGUCUGGAGAUCCUGGCAGCCGGCCUGGACAGCAGCCUCUGUAAAGGCCACCUCCACAUGGUGAGCGGUGUGGAUGGGUCUGGGUCCCGGACGUCGUGCCGGGUGCUUGCUGAUGGUCUCAGCGGCGAGCUGGACACAGUGAGGAAUCUGCUUGGGACCAAGCAGAGCGAGGCAGAGGCCCUGGGAGCGCUAUGGAGCUCCUUCAGACAGAGGAAGGAACAGCUGUUGAAAAACGUGGAGGACAUCAAGGAGAAGGCGGACCACCAGAGCCUGCGAGAACCCAGCCCACUCGCCCUGCAGCAGAGGCUGCGGUUCUUUAACCAGCUGGAGGAUGAGCUCCAGUCUCAAGAACACGAGGAGCAGUGGCUCAGGGACAAGGGUCAGCAACUAGCCCAGAGAGAUGCAGAGCUGGCCGGGGAGGUUCUCAGGGAGAUCAGCCUCUUGGAAACCACCUGGGAGGAUACCAAGAGACUCAUAACUGACAGGCAGGAGCAAUGCAGUGUUCUGGUGGAGCUGAUGAGAGAAUACCAUAACCUGAGGACAUCCAUAGCCGCCACCAUGGAGAACACUGAGGCUGACAUCGGCUCGGCUCUGAAAGACCACGAGGAGACAAAAAAAUCGCUGGCUAAGCAUGAAUCAGUGAAGGCAGAGAUGUUGGCCAAGCAGCGUGAGCUGGACCAGUUCUCCAGUAAAGGAAAACUUCUGCUGUGUGAUCUGAAGAAGAUCCCAGACUGUGAGGCUCAGCUGAUGACGACAGACAUGCAGACUCUAGUAGACCAGUGGCUCGAGGUGUCUGAGAGGAUUGAAAACAACAUUGAGCAUCUGAGCCAGAGCCUGGCGUUGUCGGAUGACGUGCAGCAGAUCAGUGAGGAGAUCGAGGGCUGGACCAACAGCUCAAUGAUGGAACUCAGUGAAAGCCUGAAUAACCUGAUUGGUAGUCAGAGAAUGGAGACCAGACUCUCUGCGUUACAGUUGGAGAUGGGGAAGAAAGAGCACCAGCUUGUGACCCUGCAAGGGAAAGUGUCAGAACUGAAGCAACUCAACUGUAGCCAGGACACUCCCGCCAAACUACAGGUGCUGGAGGCGGACCUGAGGAAAAAGCUGAGCCAGGUGCAGAAGCUAUAUGAGCAGGCCAAGGGAAACCUCAGGGACUUCAGCUCCCAGAGGAAGCAGUUAGAGGACUACAUUACCCAAAUGUCUGAUUGGCUGAAGAGCAUAGAGCAGUCCCUGAUGAGCUCACCGAUUGGCUCUGACCUAGAGGACAUCUGCAGAGUCAAGGAGCUCCAGAAGGACCUUCAGAACCAGCAAGGCAGCAUAGAUUCCACCAGGGAGAGCCUAAACACUCUGUGUCGGAAGUACCCUUCUGAGGAGCUGGCUGGGCUGGGUAGUGCACUCACUGACCUUAUCAAGGGCUAUGAGUCUGUCAACCAGCUUUCCUCUAGGACCCUGGCCUCACUCCAACACGGCCUGCAAAAACACUUCAACGAACUGGUUCGGGAGUUCCAUAGCUGGCUGUCUGGGCAGAGGGAGGUCGUGAAGGAGUGCUCUGACCAAUCAGGAGACACUAGCAUCGUGGAGCGUAAACUCCAGAAGCUAAAGGGGGCGCUGGAGCGUGUGGAGGACGGGGAGGUACGUCUGACUCAGGUGUGUGAGGAAGGGGAGAAGCUCCUGCUCCACCUCCCUAAGGCCAGUGCUGACCAGGUGCAGCAGCACAUCUCCUCCAUCCAGCACGACUGGGACUGCUAUGUUGAGCAGUGUAGACUCAACCAGCAGGCCCUGGAGGACAGCACUGCACAACUCAAUGGGUUUGAGGGGCGUCUGAAGAGGCUGAGGCAGUGGCUGGAACACAUGGAGCAGAGGGUGACCUCAGAGCUGCCUGAGGAGAAACACAGGGGUCUUGAGAAGGCAACACUGGAGGGGGUGGAGGAAUACCACCAGGAAGUGCUCAAAGAGAGGGACUCUUUCGAGCGACUGUGUCAGGAGUCACAGGUCUUGAAUGAAGGUGGACGGGGCGACGGUGGCGAGACGCGGGCGGCUGUAGGGCUGCAGUCUCAGCACCAGGCUCUGCUGCGGAGGGUGAGGGAGAGGCUGAGGUGCUGCCAGGUAAACCUACAGGAACAGGAAGCAUUUAAGGAGACCCUGCAGAGCACCUGGUCCUGGCUAAACGGGAUGAAGGAACGACUGGGGACCCUCAAUAGUACGCUGGGGAACAAGGUGACGCUAGAGAAGAGACUGGGACUGGUACAGGACAUCCUGCUGAUGAAAGGCGAGGGCGAGGUGAAGCUGAACAUGGCGGUAGGGAAGGGCGAGCAGGUUCUGAAGCACCACAGUGUGGAGGGACAGGAGGCCAUCUCCUCCCAGUUACAGAACCUGAAGGACGCCUGGGCCAGCAUGCUCAUGACCUCCAUGAGUUGUCACAGUCGUCUGGAAUGGACGGUAGCCCAGUGGAGUAACCACCAGGAUAGUAAGGGGCAGCUGCAGCAGUGGAUGGAGUCUGUGGAGCAGGAGGUGGGUCUGGCCCUGGACCAGCAGCCAGGCCUGAAGGAGAAGGCCUAUCUCCUGGAGCGUCUCAGAGCCCUCCAGGCUGACGUGGAGGCCCACGCAGCACCACUGGCCAGGCUGACAGAGACGGCUGCAGAGCUGCAUGAGAAGACAGGUGACCAGGCCUUUGGACCAGAGCAGAGAAUGGAACUCAAUGCACACUUCGCUGACAUUACCGCUGUCGUCAAGGGUAAGGUUCAGGCCAUGGAGAACAGAGUGACAGAGCAUGAGCACUACCUGGAAGCUGUGAGGGACUUCAAUGAUUGGCUGGCUUCUGCCAAGGAGGAGCUCCAGCGCUGGUCUGACCUGUCAGGAGACUCCACCUCUGUAAACAGGAAACUUGCCAAAGUCCAGGAGCUGAUAGACUCCAGGCAGCGUGGCCGAGAGCGUCUGAGCCGGGUGCAGCAUUGUGGGGCUGCAACGAGGGACCACACUGGCUCUGCGGGCUUCGAGGCAGUGGAGAGGGAGGAGGCAGCCCUGCUGUCUGCCUGGGAGCAGUGGGAACGCGGGGCACUGCAGAACAGGGCAGGCCUGGAGACUGCUCUCUCCCAACUCGCCAGCUCCGAACAGGAGUUUAACUGCUUGGCUGCUCAGCUGGAGGUGGACCUGCAGGAGUUUAGCAGUCAGCUACAGGAGUGGAGACACAGGCUCUCUCAUGCAGAGGGGAAAAACAGUAGGGAGGAGGCUGUGCAGGGCUGGCAGAUUGCAAAGGACACUCUGGAAGGUCUAGUCAAAAUGGAGCCCAUGUCAGACAGUCUGAAGUUCCAGCUCAACGGUCUGUGUCGGUUCUCCAAGGACCUGGGUACUCAGUCAGAGAGAGUGUCCUCCCAUAUCAAGGAGUACAACAGGCUGAGCCUGCAGGCCUCCAGAGAAUGCCAAAACAAAGAGAAGCUUCUGGAGCAGCAGUUCCGUGCCGCUUUCCGAGAGUUCCAGCAGUGGCUGGUCAAUGCCAAAAUCAACACAGCCAAGUGCUUUGAUGUGCCUCAGAACCUCAGUGAGGCCUCCUCCAGCCUGCAGAAGAUACAGGAGUUCCUGAGUGACAGGGAGCAGGGCCACUCCAAACUAAAUGCUGUGGUGCUUAGUGGUGAGCUGGUGGUCAGUAUCGCUGCCAAGGACAGAGUAGAUGCUGUCCGGGCCAAAAUGAGCAGUGCCAGAGAAGACUGGAAGACUCUGAUGUCCAACUUGCACCAGAGGGAGACUGCCCUACAGAACCUCCAGUCUCAGAUGAAGGACUUUGAGGCGAGUGUGGAGCCUCUUCAGGAGUGGCUGAACGGGACAGAGGUUGCUGUACAGGAGAGCAGCACACGACUCCAUGACCUCACUGCCAAAAAGCAGGAGUUGCACAAGCUGCAGUCUGUGCUCGAGGAGUUGGCCUCUCAAGAGGUUCAGCUGAUAAGGCUCAGAGAGAAGGCCCAGCUACUGUGGGAUGGACAUGCGGCCAGAAAGAGCUUUGUCCACCAUGUCUCGCAGCUCUCCGCUCAGUACUUAGCUCUAACCAACCUGACCAAGGAGAAGGCUUCCCGUAUCGACCGUAUCGUCAAUGAGCACCAGCUGUUCUCCCAGGGGCUGAAAGAGCUGCAGAACUGGGUGGCCGACACCAGCCACAUGCUGCAGACCUACCGCACUCCCACAGCAGACAAAAAUGUCCUGGACAGCAGGAUGAUCAAGCUGGAGGCGUUGCUGACAGCACGUCAGGAGAAGGAGAUCCAGCUGAAGAUGCUGGUCACAAGGGGAGAGUCUGUCCAGAGGAAUACAUCAGUAGAGGGUGUACCAGUAGUCUGCAAGAACAUCCAGGACCUCAAAGACUCCUGGGAUACCCUGCUUUCCGCCUCCAUCCAAUGCAAAAGCCAGUUGGAGGGAGCCCUCUCCCAGUGGACCAGCUACCAGGAGGACGUGUGUCAGUUUGUGGGCUGGGUGGAGCGUGUUGAGGAGAGCCUGGACCCAAGAGACAAACAAUGCUCCGAGAUGAGAGACAAAACUGCCAACCUGGGCAAAGCCAAGCUUCUCUAUGAGGAGGUUCUUAGCCACAGCAGUCUACUGGACACCAUCACCGUGAAGGGAGCCAACAUGGCGGAACACUACGUCACCCAGCUAGAGCUCCAAGACCUGCAGGAACGAUACCACACCGUCAAGGACAACACCAAGACUGCGGUGGGGAAGGCAGAAGAGCUGGUGCAGGUCCACCAGGAGUACGAGAGAGGCCUAAAUGUGUUUGAGGCGUGGCUGGAGCAGGAGCAGGAGAAACUGGGCUGCUACACACAGCUAGAGGGGGAUGUGGACACUCUGGAGGAGACGCUUCAGAAACUACAGGAGCUGCAGGUCCAGUGCACGGAGGGCCAGGCCCUACUCAACACCCUGCUGGACAGUAGAGACCAGGUUGUGCCCUGGGGUGUCCCCCAAAUCGAGGACCGGGUCCUGGAGACCUUGCAGCAGAACUGGAAUCUGUACCAGGGUAAGCUGGGAGACACUAGGACCCAGCUCAACAGUACCCUGGCCAAGCUCCGCCAGAUGGAGCAAAAGUUUCAGGGUCUGGACAGCUGGCUGAAUAGCAUGGAGAGCAAAGGUCAACUGAGGAGUCAUCGCCGGUCGGACCGUGCCACCAAGGACGCUCAACUCCAACUGAUAAAGAGUUGGCAGGAGGAGGUGCUAGUGUACCAGGAGGAGGUGGAGGGUCUGAGUGUUCUAGCCCAGCAGGUCAUAGAUGAGACCCACAUCAGCAGCCGGGUCAGCACCAGAGCUACCCAACUCACCUCCCGCUACCACGCCCUGCUACUGCACCUACUGGAGAGCAUCAAGCAACUACAGGUGGAGGUGUGUUGCAUCGAGGAGGCCCAGAAUGUGUUCAGGACCUUCUCUGAUUGGCUGAGCUCGGCCAAGAACAACUUCAGCACCAUGGCCAUCAGCAUCAGUGUAGUAGACCGUCUUACCAUGGAGAGGAAGAUGAAGACACUGGAGGCUCUUCAGGGUGACAUGGAGCAGGGCCACAGCUUCCUGAAGACGAUGCGUGAGAAGACAGAGCGGGCCGUGGCCUUCCUGGAGGAACCAGAAGCUGAGCAGCUGAGGGAGGAGGUGGAUGCUCAUAGAUCCCAGCUAGAGGGCCUGAUGGCUGGGCUACGCACGGAGCACAGCUCCCUGGAGAAAUGCAUCUCCCUCUCCAAAGACUUCCUGGACAAGUACAAGGCCCAGGCACAGUGGCUCGCUGAGACCAAGGCUUUGUUAAGCUCACCCAUCGAGCUCAAAGCUGAGCUCUACCAGAAGAAGGCCCAGUUAGCCAAAUAUAAGACAAUCCAGCAGACAGUGCAGUCCCACGAGUCAGCGGUGAGGUCAGUGGUUGAGAAAGGAGAGGUUCUGCUGGAUAUGGUCUGUGACCCCACCAUCAGAGACAACAUGAACAGGUUGCAGACUGACUACCAGGAACUCUGCACUGCAGCCGAGAGCCAAGUCCAGAGUCUGGUGGAGUGGGUGAAGGAGCAUGAGUGCUACAACAGUGAGCUCCAGGAGGUGGAGAAGGGGCUCCUACAGAUGUCCAGUAGGCUGGUCACCUCAGACUCCAUGCAGACAUGUAGUAUGGAGACGGCCACACAACAACUGGCCCGCCACAAGGCAAUUAUGGAGGAAAUAGCUAGUUUUGAGGAGCGCCUGACCAGUCUGAAGGAGAAAGGAGAUGACUUGGUGUCCAGCUGUACAACAGACCAGAUGCAGGCUAAGACCAGCCAGCAGGUCAAGGCUCACCAUCAGGGCACCAGAGACAGCUACUCAGCCAUCUGCAGCAGCGCACAGUGUGUUUACCAGAGUCUGGACAGAGAACUGCAGAAGCAUGUCAGUCACCAGGACACUCUGCAGCAGUGCCAGACCUGGCUCUCCACCGUCAAUGAGGAGCUACUGCUGCACUGUCAACCUCCCUUUGGCAUGCAGGAGGCCCUCAAACAGGUGAAGCACUACAGGGCUCUACAGGAGCAGGCCAGUACGUACCUGGACCUGGUGUCUUCUGUGUGUGACUUGUCUGAUGAUGCUGUGAGAGCCACCACUGCGGAAGUCCAGCAGGUCAAACACACGAUGGAGGAGAGGAUGUUGAGCUCCCAGGAGCUAUGUGAGGGCUGGAGAGAGAUAAAGGAGCAGAAGCAGGAGCUAUCUGAUCAGUUCCAGGACAUGGAGCAGCAGCUUCUCAGCCUCUCCAGAAGACCAGCGGAGCUCGAGACCAAGAUCGCCCUCAACAUGCUCACCCAGGCCAAGGAGUUUAGCCAACAGCUGCAGAAUAAACAAGCCACCCUAUCCAGGAUGACAGAGAGUGUGAGUCGUCUGACUGCGGGCCAGGAUAGCCCGGAACAUGGAGAGAUAGGGCGUCUGAGCCAUGCCUGGCUGGGGCUGUUUCACCAAGCUAACAGGCUGAAGGGCCAGAGACAGGAGGACCUGCAGAGGAUCCAGGAGUACCACAACUGCAUCACAGCCAUGGAAGCACUUUUUGAGCAAAUGUCUAAGGAGUGGGAUAACCUGGCCAGGACUGAUGCUGAAAGUUCAUCUGAGCACUUGGAGGCGCUGAAGAAACUCGCCGUAGCUCUCGGAGACCAGAAGGGAACUCUGGAGGACCUGAAGGACCAGAGGCAGAAAGUCACACACCACCUGAACCUGGAUGACAAGGAGCUGGUGAAGGAACAGAUCAGCCAUUUUGAGCAGCGCUGGGUUCAGCUGCAGAGCCUCAUCAACAGGAAGAUACAGGACUCGGUGCUGACCCUGGAGGACAUGGCCAAGGUGGAGGCCCGUCUAAGGGAGGCCAGGGAGUGGGCCGAAGAGCAGCAGCCAGGCCUUUCUGAAGCCAUGAAGAUGAGUCCUCCUCCAGAGUUGGCCCAAAGCUUCCUCUUCGACCACCUCAGCAUUUGCAGCGAACUGGAGGCCAAGCAGCUGCUUCUGGCCCAGGCCAUGAGUGAUGCUGACCGUCUCCUGGCUCACCUGGGGCUCAACGAGUGCCAGCGCCUGCAGCAGCUCAUCUCAGACACUCAGGCCGAGGUGGAGUCACUCAGCGUGAAGGUGGUUCAACGCAGGAAGCACCUCAGCAAGGCCUUCACUGAGAGGACCCAGUUCCUGCAGGCUGUCAACCAGUCCAUCACCUGGGUCCAGCAGAAUGAGAAGAAGGCCCAGGCUGAGGAGUACAUUGCACUGCUACCUGACGACCUGGCCAAGCAGGUUAAGGCCUGCAGGAACAUCCAGAGCAGCCUGAAGGCCUACCAGAGCGAGCUGACCUCCCUGUGGUCUCAGGGCAGAGACCUGAUGAAGGACGCCACGCAGGACGAGAAGGUGGAGAUGCUUACCAAGCUGCAGGAGCUGCAGAACAUCUUUGAAAAAGCCCUGCAGAAAUGUGUCCAGAGGCUCCAAGAACUGGACAAUGUGCUUGUCUCCAGGAAGUACUUCAAGGCAGACCUGGAAAAGACGUGUCAGUGGCUGAAACAAGCAGACAUUGUGACCUUCCCUGAGAUCAACCUCAUGAAUGGCGACUUGGAGCUGAACGUGCAGCUGUUGAAGUAUCGGCAGAUAGUAGAGCAGGCGAUGGAAUAUGAAAACCUCUUACUGAUCGUCCAGAGAACUGGUCAGGAGAUCCUGCCCACUCUGAAUGAAGUGGACCACUGUUACUUGGAUGAGAAACUCAAUGCCCUGCCACAGAAAUACAACAGCAUACUGGCUCUGGCCAAAGAGAAACAGGAGAAGAUCGAGCAGGCCAUCCUAGCCAGAAAGGAGUAUGCCUCCUUCAUAGACGUGACUCAUAAAGCAUUGAAAGAGCUUGAGGAGCAGUUCCAUAACUUAGGGUUGCAGCCUGUUGGUCUGCAGACAGAGGAGGUUGUGAAUUUACUGAGUGACUACAAAGCUCUUCAGGUAGAUCUGGGCAACCUUGGUCUGGCUGUCAGCGAACUGAACCAGAAGAAAGAAGGCUUCCGCAGCACCGGUCAACCCUGGAGACCUGAAGAGUUGACCCAGCUGGUGAGUCUUUACAAUGGGCUUAAGAGGCUCAUCGAACAGCGGGUGGAGCAUCUCGACGACACACUGGAGUCCUUCGAGGACCACAAGGCCAUGGCCAUGCAGGUGGACUCUGAGCUAAAGGCUACCAAAGAAGAGCUAGUCAAGGUCAACGCAGAGACCCAAUCGGCGGAGGAGAGGCUGAAGAAUUACCAUGCCCUGGCUGGGAGUCUUCAGAGCGCCAGCUCUCACCUGUCCAGACUCAUGGAGCAGAUGGAUAACUUGGCUCCUCAGCUGGACAAGGCUGCCCAUGACGCUUCCAGGGAACAGGUGGUCCUUUGGCAGGAGGAGCUGCAGUCCCUACAGUCUGCCGUGGGGGAGCUGAUAGUGGAGUGUGAGAAUAGGUUUGUCCAGAGUAAAGACUUUGAGACAGAGGUGAAGAGAACGCUGGACUGGCUGCAGCAUAUCAGGGAUGAGCUGGGCUGUGCUGUGGUAGUGGUGGACGUGAGGGUAGAAAAGGUCCAGGAAGAGAUCAGGAAACAGCAGAUAAUGCAGGAUGAGGUUCAGUCCAGGCUGAGGAUCGUGGAGGCCCUGAGCAGUAGGGAGAAACAGAAGUACACCAGCGCCAACGAACUGGUCCCAGCCCACGUUGACCUGAGCCUGGAGGAGAUGGCCAAGCUACAGGCUGAUGUACAGCAAGCAAUGAGUUCCAAACAGAUCACCCUGGAGCAGGCCUUGGCGUUGUGUCAGAAGUACCACUUCCGGAUGCAGUCUGCGUGUGAGUGGCUGGAGGACGCUGUGGCCUUCCUACAACUGGCCAGCCUGGGGGUGGACGUAGAGAACUAUGAGGAAUGUCUCCGCCAGCAGGAGGACAUCCUGGCCUCAGAGCAGAAGUUCCUAGACCACCUGCAGGAGUUGGAGGCUCUGCCCCCCCAGCUAGAGAACCUGGUGAACCCCACAGCCAAGGAACAGCUCAGACUGAAUGUGGAGUCUGCUCAGCAGAGAGGAGUGGAGGUCCGGGAUCAGCUGCAGAAUCACCAGGACGUCCUGAUCAGCUGUGUGGCCAAGUGGAAGUCUUACCAGGAGGCGAGGCAGAUGGUGAUUGAACUGAUGAACGAGGCAGAGCAGAAGCUUACUGAGUUUUCCACCGCAAAGGCUGCCACCUUUCUGGAGGCCGAGGAGAAACUCAGGAGUCACAGGUCCCUGGUGUUGAUGGUGAAUGGGUUCCAGGAGAAGCUGACAGGGCUGGAGGAGCAGGCAUCACAACUGGAGCUGGUGGGUAGUGAGGCCAGCAAGGCCACCAUCAGCCGCUCCAUGACCACGGUGUGGCAGCGCUGGACCCGGCUUCGCAGCGUGGCGCGAGGGCAGGAGAGGGUACUGGAGGACACGGCCCAGGAGUGGGGGACCUUCAGAGAGAAGAUGGUGAAGCUGAGGAGCAUGGUGGAGGAUCUACAGAGCCGUAUUAUAGACUGUGUUGUGGAGAAGGCCUCCAAGGCUACCCUACAGUCUGUGUUGGACCAGCAUGAGCUGUUAAUCCAGGAUGUAGAGAGAGAGCUGUCCUCCCUCACCCUGCUGCGUCAGUAUGCCCUCAGCCUGCUCCAUGAUGUGGAGGUCCCUUCACCAUCGCCCACCUCUGGACAGGACGAACUACCCAGUCUCAAGGAGAUCAGAGCAGUACAAGACCACCUGGAAAGUCUGCUGCAGCAGGCACAGACCAAGGGUACCCAGGCUGGGGUGGAGCUGAGGGACAGAGAGGGGGUAGAGAAGAACCUGAGUGUGGUCAAAGCCUGGAUCCAGGAGACCAGGGAGCUGCUCCCCAACCCCACCUCAGAUAUAGAUGCUCUGCUGCAGGAGCUGGAGGUGGUUCACGGUGAUGUGAUUGGCUACCGUCAGCAUGUGGAUAAGAUAGCAGAGCAGCAGCAGAGCAAGUAUCUGGACCUGUACACCAUACUGCCCUCAGAGAUCUCCAUGCAGCUGGCUGAGGUGUCCCUAGCACUGGGGGCCAUCCAGGACCAGGUUCUGUCCAAAGAGAAAGAGAUCCAGAAGACAAGAGACAUCAAGGAGGACAUCAGUUCCAGGAUCCAUGACGUGUCGGAGAAGAUGAAAGCCAUCUCCACCAGUCUCAAUGACAAAGCCAGCGAUGUCCAUCACGCUAAAGACGAGACCAAGUGUCUUUGUGAUGAUCUGGAGAGCUGUCAUCGGACUCUGUCAGAGCUGGAUGCUGCGGUCCAGGAGUUCGACAGAUGGAACCCCAUCUUGGCCAAACAGCUGAGUGAUGCCAUCGUCAAGUUAGGAGACAUCCACCACCACACUGCCAGACUGGCAGAGUGUAGAUCCAUCUGGCUCAAAAAGGCAGGGACCCAUCUAGAGGAGUACAAUGAGAUGCUGGACUUCAUAGUGAGGUGGUCGGAGAAAGCCAAGGGCCUGGUGAGGGCCAACAUCAUCUGGAACUCCUCCUCUCAUCUGCAGGAACAGAUAAGGAUGGACGAGUCCGUGCUGCGUGAAUCUCGAGAGCUCCAUGGGGACCUGCAGGCCAUGGGAGAGAAGGUGGAUCUGCUGUCUGAGGUGCUGCAGACGGAGAACAUGUCCCAGCAGGUGUGUGAGCUGAGCCGCCACACCGAGGAGCUCCAGCAGACCAUCAGGACACGGCUGCAGAGCCUUCAGGACGCAGCCAAGAGUAUGGAGCCUCUGGAGUAUGAGGUGAAGACCCUACAAGUGGCUCUGGAACAGGUCCAAGCUACACUGACCUCUCCUGAUCUUUCCCGACAGAGUCUCAAAGAACAACUGGCCCAGAGACAGCGUCUGCUGUCAGAGAUGGAGGGCUUCAAGCUGCAGGUGCAGGCGGUGCAGUUGUGUCAGAGCGCCCUGCGCGUCCCAGAGGAGGUGAUGCCUGACCUGGCUAUCUGUCACACGGCACUGGGCCUACAACAGGAGGCCAGCCAGCUACAGCAUGUCGUAAUACAGCAGUGCAACAUUCUACAGGAGGCUGUUGUGCAGUAUGAGCAGUAUGAGCAGGAGGCGAAGCACUUCCAGGGGCUGAUAGAGGAUGCCCACAGGGUCAUCCAGGACCGACCCAUUCCCACCAGCACUAUCCAGGAACUGCAGGCUCAGAUCCUACACCAUGAGGAGCUGGCCCAGAAAAUCAAGGGUUACCAGGAGGAGAUAGCCAGUCUGAAUUCGAAGUGUCAGAUGCUGACUGUGAAGGCCAAACAUGACACCAUGCUACUCACUGUGAGUGACACGGAGCGGGUGGGGCUUACCGUGGAGGACCUGGAUGGAGACAUAGACAAACCAUCUGUUGUUAUGAUGACGGCUGGCCGCUGUCACACCCUUCUGUCCCCGGUCACCGAGGAGUCUGGGGAGGAGGGUACCAGCAGUGAGAUCUCCUCUCCUGUCUGUCGCUCCCCUUCUCCCAGCACUCACACACAGAUGGGACGAGACACCCUCCCCAGAGCUCCCGUACAGGAGCUAAAUGACCCGAUGUUUGAAUCUGAGGCUAACCUAGAUGACCUUCAACGCUCCUGGGAGACCCUGGAGAAUGUGAUCAGUGAGAAGCAGAGGUCUCUGUAUGAGGCGCUGGAGAAGAAGCAGUGCAACCAGGGUUCUCUUCAGUCUAUCUCCUCUAAGAUGGAGGCCAUCGAGAGCAAACUCAACAAGCCACUGGAGGCUGACAGGAGCACAGAUAGUCAUAUGGAAGCCCAUCAGGCCGUGGUGGAGGAGGUUCAGAGGCUGCAAGAGGAGAUAGACAAGCUGCAGACCAGCUUCUCAGACGAGCUUGGUUCUGAUGCUGUGGACGACACGGCCCACCAGCUGGCCAUGCAGUCUACCCUCACUGUCCUGUCUGAGAGGAUGGCCACCAUACAGAUGAAGGCCUCAGGAGAACGACAGCUACUGGAGGAGCGUGUCAGUGACCGUCUAGAGGAGCAGCAUCAGGAGCGUGUCAGUGACCGUCUAGAGGAGCAGCAUCAGGAGCGUGUCAGUGACCGUCUAGAGGAGCAGCAUCAGGAGCGUGUCAGUGACCGUCUAGAGGAGCAGCAUCAGGAGCGUGUCAGUGACCGUCUAGAGGAGCAGCAUCAGGAGCGUGUCAGUGACCGUCUAGAGGAGGAGCAUCAGGAGCGUGUCAGUGACCGUCUAGAGGAGCAGACCUUACGACAUUACCUCAACCAAGCCGACCAGAUGGACCAAUGGCUGCACAGCACCCGCGAAGCCCUCCGUCCCAGUGCUGAGGAGGAGCAACUCAUAGAUGGCCAGAACAUGCUGCAGGAGAUAGAGCAGAAGGUGGUGGCCCUGUCGGAGCUGACCAUGCGCAGCGAGAGCCUGCUACUGGAGGGAAGGCAGGAGACGCGGAUGGACAUGAGGGAGGACACAGAGCAGCUGGCCAGGAAGCUGCGGACGCUGAAGGGAAGUCUGCUGGAGCUGCAGAGGAUGCUGCAGGACAAACACAACAACAUCCAGGACCAGGAGGAGAGUGAGUCUGACUCGACUCUGUCUCAGGGGCCCAUCGUGCAGGACUGCUUGGUCCAGGCCCACACCACACUCUCACAACACCACCAGGACAGCCUCCAGAGACAGAGGGAGCUGGAGGAGCAGCUAGCUGAACAGAAGAAGCUGUUACAGUCUGUAGCCAGUAGAGGAGAGGAGAUCCUGAUAAAGCAGGCCUCACCUAGCAGUGUCAGUAUGACGGAGCCCUGCUCUCCAGAGAUACUGCUGGAGCGAGAGACCCGGGCUGCCCAGUACCAGAUGAGACAGAGGUGGGACAGCCUGAGGAAAGAACUGAGCACCAAGCUCCAGCUCCUACAGAAAACCCUGGAACAAGACCACAAGCAACAGGUUUCCUCCAGAACUGCCGCUGGGACCCUGUUUAAAGCAGAGAUCUGUAAAACAGAGGACACAUCUUCACUGAAGAUGUUAUAUGAGGGUUUCAGCCAAACGAUGGAGGAGAUGUCUUGUCAAACUGGGGCCUCUGAGGGUAAGGUGAUCCCCAUGGAGCAGCAUCUCUACCAGGCUGUGUCAGCGACCUCCUCCUGGCUGGAUGAUGUAGAGAAUACCCUGUUCUCUGGUCCUACGCUGCUGACGGAGAACGCUGAGACACAGCUACAAAACCAGGAGGCCUUAGGGAGGGAUGUCAGUGAGGUGACUGGGGUGGUGAGCCACAGUCGGGGUCUCCUAGGCCAACCUACAGGGCUGUGUGCGGAGGACCAGGUCCUGUUAGAGGACACACUGGACUGUCUGACAGAGAGGCUGCAAACUCUGGACUCUGCCCUGGAGCGACGCUGUGAACACAUGAGGACUAGGAUGCAGGAACUCACUGCCUACCAGACGGAGUCACAACUUGUCCUUGCUGAUUUAACCGACACCAAGUGCCAGAUCCUUCAGACGUUGGCGGGAGCCACGGACAGACCAGGAUCCACACAGCUUGAGGUCAUAGCUGAGGCUGAGGAGGGUUUGAGAGAGUUUGAGCAGAGGAUCACCCAGCUGAAAACAAGGGGAACAGAACUACAGGCAGAACAGAUGUCCACCAAUGAGAUGCUCAAGCUACAGGAUGCCUAUGAGGAGUUGGUGAUGACGGUGGGCUCGCGGCGUAGCAGCCUGAACCAUAACAUGGCUCUGAAGGGGCAAUAUGAGAGGGCUCUGCAGGACCUGGCUGACCUGGUGGACACUGCUCAAGACAAGAUGGCCGGCGACCAGAGGGUCAUCGCCAGCUCUGUGGAGGAAGUUCAGAUUCUCCUUGACAAACACAAGGAGUUCUUCCAGAGUCUGGAGUCCCACAUGAUCCUGACGGAGUCGUUCUUCAGGAAGAUCAGUGGCCUGGUGGUUCCCAGAGAGAAGCAGGCUCUGGAGGAGAUACUGACCCUGGCCCAGGGAGUCCUCAAACAGGCCCACAGGAGAGGGGUGGCGCUGGAGUACAUACUGGAGACUUGGAGCCAUCUGGUGCCGGAUUUCCAGGCUCUGUGUAUGCAGUUGGAGGCAGUGGAGGGUAGCAUCCCCACAGUGGGCCUGGUGGAGGAGACAGAGGAGAGCCUCACUGAGAGGAGUUUACUCUAUCAGAGUCUGAAGGGCAGACUGAUGGAGCACCAGCACAAGCUGAGCCAGGUGCUGGAGGAGGGGAAGAGGCUGCAGCUAUCUGUGUGCUGUCCUGGCCUGGACACAAAGCUCACAGUGCUAGGGGAACACUGGCUCAGCAACACUACCAAGGUCAACAAGGAGCUGCAGAGACUAGAGGCCAUCCUCAAACAUUGGACCAGGUAUCAGAAGGAGUCAUCAGAGUUGAUUGGCUGGCUGCAGUCUGCUCUAGAACGUCUGGACUUCUGGAACAAUCAGGCAGUCGUAGUUCCACAGGAGAUGGAGACCCGCAGGGACCAUCUCUCUACCUUCCUGGACUUCUGUAAAGAGGUGGAGUCGCGUUCAUCUCUGAAGAAUUCUGUGCUGACUGAGGGCAACCAGCUUCUGAGGCUGAAGAGGGUUGGAACUGCAGCCCUGCGGUCUGACCUGGCCCGCAUAGACUCAGAGUGGACCCAACUACUCACACUCAUCCCAGGGGUGCAGGAGAAGCUACACCAGUUACAAAUGGAGAAGUUGGCCUCUAGGCAUGCCAUCUCUGAGCUGGUCAACUGGAUAUCUCUGAUGGAGAAUGUGAUUGGAGAGGACGAAGAGAACCUGAAAGGAGCAGUGGGGUCGACUGUCAUCCAGGACUAUCUACAGAAAUACAAGGGCUUCAGAGUUGAUGUGCACUGUAAGCAGCUGACGGUGUAUUUUGUGAACCAGUCUGUGCUCCAGAUCAGUGAUCAGGAUGUGGAGAGCAGGCGCAGCGACCAGACAGACUUUGCCGAGAAGCUGGGAGUAAUGAACCGACGCUGGCAGUUACUACAGGGACUCAUCACGGAGAGGGUCCAGUUCCUGGAGACUCUGCUGGAGGCCUGGUUGAACUAUGAGAACAACAUACAGGGCCUGAAGACCUGGCUGCUCACUCAGGAGGGGAGGCUGAAGAGGAAACCCAGGAUAGAGGACCUAACCUCCGUACAGAACGCUCUCAAUGACUGCCAGGAGAUGGAGGAAAAGGUGAAGGAGAAGGAGGGUGAGGUGGAGCGGGUGGAGGAGCAGGCCUGUGCCCUCAUCCAGAACAAAACCGACGAGGCCUGCGCUGUCGUCAUGGAGACGCUCCAAGCUGUCAAUCACACCUGGGCUAACCUGGACCACCUGAUCGGCCAGCUGAAGAUCAGCCUCGUGUCAGUGCUGGACCAGUGGAGUCUGUACAAGUUGUCCUCAGAGGAGAUGAAUGGCUACCUGAUGGAGGGGAGGUACUCUGUGUCCCGUUUCCGCCUCCUCACCGGCUCCCUGGAGGCUGUACAGCUACAGGUGGAGAGUCUCCAGAGCCUACAGGAGGAACUGGAGAAGCAGGAGGGCAGUCUGAGGAAGUUUGGCUCUGUGACACACCAGCUGCUGAAUGAGUGCCACCCGUCUGUGUCCGACUCCCUCAACAAUACCCUGAAGGACGUCAACGCUAGGUGGAGCAGUCUCCUGGAAGAGAUCUCAGAGCGUCUGAAGAGAAGCAAAGCCCUGCUACAGCUGUGGCAGCACUACAAGGAGCUGUAUGGAAAGAGUAGCUCCAGUGUCCAGCUACAAGAGGUGCAGGCUGACCGACUCCUGGAGACCGCCUGCACCAAGGACAUCACAGACGAGGAGGUCUCCACCUGGAUCCAAGACUGCAGCGAGUUGCUUCGUGCCCAGGCUCCAGUGAAGGCAUCUCUACAGGUUAUUCAGGAGCUAGGAGAUCAGCUGAAGCAACAGGUGGACACCUCCACAGCAUCCGCCGUCCAGUCAGACCACCUCUCUCUGACCCAGCGCCUGGCCACUGUGGAGCAAGCCCUCAGCAGACAGCUCACUACACUACAGACGGGAGUCCAGGACUAUGAGACCUUCAGUGAGCAGCUGGGUUCCUUAGGUCGCUGGAUGGUGGAGGGAGAAGAGGCUCUGAAGAUCCAGGAUCCCAACAGUUCUUCUGACCUGUCCAUCAUACAGGACCGAAUGGAGGAACUCAAGAGACAGAUCUUGAGAUUCAGUAGCAUGGCUCAUGACCUGGAGCGUCUCAACGAGCUGGGCUACAGGCUUCCUCUCAACGACAUUGAGAUCAAACGCAUGCAGAACCUUAACCGUAGCUGGUCUGCAGCCAACGCCCAAACCACUGAGAGGUUCAGCAAACUGCAGUCAUUCCUGCUGCAGCAGCAGACGUUCCUGGAGAAGUGUGAGACGUGGAUGGAGUUCCUGGUACAGACAGAGAAGAAGCUGGCCGUGGAGAUCUCUGGGAACUACCAGAGUCUGAUGGAGCAGCAGAGAGCGCACAAACUAUUUCAGGCUGAGAUGUUCAGCCGUCAGCAGAUCCUCCACUCUAUAAUCAGUGAUGGCCAGAGGAUGCUGGCGCAGGGACAGGUGGAUGACAGGGAUGAAUUCAACCGGAAGUUGUUGCUGUUGAGUAACCAGUGGCAGGGCGUUGUGCGUCGCGCCCAGCAAAGGCAGGGUAUCAUCGACAGCCUGAUCCGCCAGUGGCAACGUUACAGGGAUAUGUCAGAGAAGCUGAGGAAAUGGCUAGUGGAGAUCUCACACCCCGCCGAGGCCCUACUGGCUGGGGCGCCCAUACCCCUGCAGCAGGCCAGAUCCAUGCUGGAUGCAGUUCAGCUGAAAGAAAAGGUCCUACAGCGACAGCAGGGCUCUUACAUCCUGACAGUAGAAGCUGGGAAACAGCUGCUCCUAUCUGCAGACAGCAGGGCAGAGGUGUCUCUGCAGGGAGAGCUCACAGACAUCCAGGAACGCUGGAGACACGCCACCAUCUGCCUGGAGGAACAGAGGCGUGAGCUGGACAAGCUGGACAAGGACUGGGAGACAUGUGAGAGAGGCAUCGAGGGUUCUCUGGAGAAGCUGAGGAAGUUGAAACGGCAGUUCUCUCAGUCCCUCCCUGAUCACCACGAGGACUUGCAAGCGGAACAGAUGCGAUGCAAGGACUUGGAGAAGACGUUUGACGGCUGGACAGAAGACCUAGCCCACCUGACGGUGCUGAGGGAGUCCCUGUCUAGCUACAUCAGUGCUGAGGACCUGUCUGUUCUACAGGAACGCAUGGAGCUUCUGCACCGCCAGUGGGAGGAGAUCUGUCACCAGCUAUCCCUGCGGCAGCAGCAGGUGGGUGAGAAGCUGAGUGAGUGGGCUGUGUUUAAGGAGAAGAACAGGGAGCUCUGUGAUUGGCUUACCCAAAUGGAGAGCAAGGUCUCUCAGAAUGGAGACGUCAGAAUCGAGGAGAUGAUCGAGAAGCUACGCAAGGACUACUAUGAGGAGAUAGCGGUGGCUCAGGAGAACAAGCAGCAGCUGUACCAGCUGGGGGAGAGACUGGCCAAGGCCAGCCAUGAGAACAAGGCAUCUGAGAUAGAACACAAACUCAGCAUGGUGGGCGAGCGCUGGCAACACCUGCUGGACCUCAUUGGAGCCAGGUUGAAGAAGCUGAGGGAGACUCUGGUGGCAGUGCAGCAGCUGGAUAAGAACAUGAUUAGUCUGCGGUCCUGGCUGACCCACAUAGAGACUGAGCUGUCCAGACCCAUCCUAUACGACACCUGUGACUCCCAGGAGAUACAGCGGAAGCUGGACCUGCAGCAGGAGCUUCAGCGUGACAUAGAGAAGCACAGCACAAGUGUGGCUUCUGCGUUGAACCUGUGUGAGGUGUUGUUACACGACUGUGACGUCUGUGCCACGGACACAGAGUGUGAUUCCAUCCAGCAGACCACCAGGAACCUCGACCGCCGCUGGAGGAGAAUAUGUGCCCUGUCCAUGGAGAGGAGGCUCAAGAUUGAAGAGACAUGGCGUUUAUGGCAGAAGAUCAUAGAAGACUUUAUGCGUUUUGAGGAGUGGCUAGUGACCUCAGAGAAGACCGCUGCUCUACCCAACUCUUCAGGAGUACUGUACACAGUGGCCAAGGAAGAACUCAAGAAGUUUGAGGCAUUUCAGUGUCAGUCCCAUGAGAGCCUGACCCAGCUGGAGACGAUCAAUAAACAGUACCGCCGCCUGGCCAGGGAGAACCGCACAGACUCCUCCUGUCGCCUCGGGGAAAUGUCCCACGACGGGAACCAGCGCUGGGAUAACCUGCAGAAGAGGGUGGCCUCCAUCCUCCGCAGGCUCAAGCACUUCGUCAGUCAGCGUGAGGAGUUUGAGAAGGCCAGAGACAGCGUCGUGGUGUGGCUCACCGAGAUGGACCUGCAGCUCACCAACAUAGAACACUUCUCAGAGUGUGACAUCCGAGCCAAGAUCAAACAGCUACGGGCGUUCCAGCAGGAGAUUUCUGUGACCACGGGGAAGGUCGAGCACAUCUUCCACCAGGGAGAGGUGCUGCUGCAGAAGAGUGAGCCUCUGGACGCUGUUGUUAUAGAGAAGGAGCUGGAGGAGCUGCGGAGAUACUACCAGGAGGUGUUUGGACGCGUGGAGCGUUACUAUAAGAAGCUGAUCCAACUACCGCUGACAGGAGAAGAGUACGAUGUGUCAUUCUCGGACAAGGAGAUUGAACUGGAUGAACCUGGGGACCUGUCCAGCAUUCUCUGGAGUGAACGUCUUGGAGACUGCCUGAGCUCCCCUCUGCCCUCCCUGACUGCCCCCCUCUGUACUGGGGCUGAGCGCUCGGGCAUGGGAACCCCAGCCAGCAUGGACUCCAUCCCCCUGGAGUGGGACCAUGACUACGACCUGAGAAAGAGGCUGGAGAGUGCCAGCGGGGCUCUCGGCCUGGCCUCUGAGCACGAGGAGCACGGAGAGGAGGGGAGCUACCAGGGAUCAGCUUCUGCUUCCGCUCUGUCAGGAGAGGGAGGUACCCUGGACAGCCACAUCCUUCAGUUGGACAAGGUUCUGGACCCCAGUCAGUUACACCUGCAACAGACAGAGAAUGUCAUCCGUAGCAGAACCCCCACCGGGCCAGAGCUGGAUGCAUCAUACAUGGGAUAUAUGCGUCUACUGGGAGAGUGUCGUAGCAGUAUAGACACGGUGAAGAGGGUUGGCUACGAACUGAAGGGGGAGGGGGAAAAGGCCUCAGGACUUGCUGACCCCAUUGAUGAUGAUUCACAAACAACAGGUGUGAUACAGCGCUGGGAGUUGCUGCAGGCCCAGGCCCUCAGUAAAGAGAUGCGUCUGAAGCAGAACCUUCAGCAGUGGCAGCAGUUCAACUCUGACCUCAACGCUGUGUGGGCGUGGCUGGAGCAGGCAGGGGAGGAGCUAGAGCAGCAACGGAGGCUGGACCUCAGCACCGACAUCCAGACCAUCGAGCUGCGCAUCAAAAAACUGAAGGAGCUGCAGAAGGCUGUUGACAAGCGUAAGGCCACAGUGCUGUCCAUCAACCUGUGCAGUGCAGAGUUUGUCCAGUCCGCCACAGAAGAGUCCCAGGACCUGAAGGCCAGGCUGAAAGAGAUGAACAACCGCUGGGACAGAUUGGGCACCUCUCUGGGAGAGUGGAGGGCAGCGCUACAAAAGGCCCUUAUGCAGUGUCACGACUUCCAUGAGAUGAGUCACGGCCUGCUACUGUGGCUGGAGAACAUUGACCGCAGGAGGAAUGAGAUUGUUCCCAUUGACCCCAUCCAGGACAGCAACACCCUCCAUGAGCACCACAAAACACUCCUGAAAAUCCGCUGUGAGCUGCUAGACACCCAGAGGAAGGUGUUGUCCCUGCAGGACAUGUCCCUGCAGCUGCUAGUCAACAGCGAGGGCAGUGACUGUCUGGAGGCCAAGGAGAAGGUUCACGUCAUCGGGAACCGCCUCAAACUGCUCUUCAAGGAGGUGACCAGAGACCUCAAAGAGCUGGAGAAGAUUCUGGACACGAACAGCAGCCAACAGGAUCUGUCUAUGUGGUCGUCAGCUGAUGAGCUAGACUCCACCUCUGGUUCCAUAAGCCCGGUGUCGGGCAGGAGCACGCCAAGUCGCCGUCGAUCGGUAACGUAUUGUAAUACCUCUGACAAUGGUUACAUGGUGCCCUACCAGAAGGAAGGUGUUUGGCACUUCCUCCCUAAGACUGACAGUGCGUCACUUGUGCCCCUGAAUGCAACACCGAGUUUGCUCCAGUUUAAGGCCAUGCAAAGUCACUCCCUCCCACCCUCCCAGGACUUCUCUUUCUCACCUCUUCUCUGUACACCUUCCUACAUGUAUAUACAUUCCACACACAACUCUUUUUCCACACCUUUAUUCUUUCAUGUUAUAUCAUUUCCCAGAGACAAACCGACCAGAGCACUUGAGACAUCAGUAUACCCCCUCUUAAAAAAUAUAUAUAUAUAUUAUCUUAUUUUAUUGAUUGACUUUCCCCCUAAACUUCAACAUCUACUUCUGGUUUCUCCUGAUCAAAUGUGUCCCAUCUUUUUAUUAUUUUCUUUAGUCCUGUGGUUUUAGAGUCCUGUGGUUUUAGAGUCCUGUGGUUUUAGAGUGCUGUGGUUUUAGAGUCCUGUAAUUUUAGAGUCCUGUGGUUUUAGAGUCCUGUAGUUUUAGAGUGCUGUGGUUUUAGAGUGCUGUGGUUUUAGAGUCCUGUAAUUUUAGAGUCCUGUGGUUUUAGAGUCCUGUAGUUUUAGAGUGCUGUGGUUUUAGAGUGCUGUGGUUUUAGAGUCCUGUAACUUUAGAGUCCUGUGGUUUUAGAGUCCUGUAUUUUUAGAGUGCUGUGGUUUUAGAGUGCUGUGGUUUUAGAGUCCUGUAACUUUAGAGUCCUGUGGUUUUAGAGUCCUGUAGUUUUAGAGUGCUGUAGUUUAGUGCUCAUGGAAUAUUGGCUCUUUAAUACUGCUGAAAACCCUUGGUUUUUAUCAAUUAAAUUCUAUAGAAGUUAUGUCUUGUCUUCACUUCAAUCCCAAUGGUUGAUCUCAGUGAUUUGAAGAUACAGUACAUGUAUAUCUUAAAUUUGUUACAUCUGUCUUCCACAUAGCAAAUCAUGCAUCAUAUCAUACGUUGUGCUUCAGCAGCGAAUGAAUUCCCUUUGUUCCAAAUAACAGCAUGACCAUCCAGCUGUAGCUGUUCAAAGUAGCUGUACACUUUGAAAAAAGCUAGUUCAUUUAUUUUCUCUAGUUGUCACCUUCCUUCACAUAUUUGAUUUGUUCUAAGAUCACCUUCUAUUCUUUUAUUUGGGGUAUUUUCUUUUCAUCGGUAGCUUUGUUCUUUAUUUGCCUGGACUGAAACAUACUCUCUUUCUUUUACCCCCGUGUUCAUUGCAAACAGCAACGGGGCAAAUGUAGUAUGUCACAGCAGACCUCUGGACCCUCUGUGAGCAGUCCACACAGAUCACACAGGUAUCCCGUCGCUGGGUCCGCUUCCUCCCCUUCUGAGGCAGAGGGGAAAUCGUCAUCGUCACGUUUCCUGUACCGCGUCCUACGGGUGGCGGUGCCCCUCCAGUUGCUGUUCCUCUUGCUGCUGGUGGUCAUGGUCUGCCUGGUGCCAGUGUGUGAGGGGGAUUUCGACUGCAGCCAGUCCAAUAACUUUGCCCGUUCCUUCCACCCGAUGCUACAAUACACCAACGGGCCUCCUCCUGUAUAGUCUUUCAUGACAGACCAAACAUUUGGUUCUGGGUGCCGAGCGAGAUUACAGCCUGGCACUUGGUAUGGAGACGAACCUGAGGAGGAUAGUUGGGCUUUUUGAACUUCAUGACUGUUGUGGAUUUCAACUCUAUGGGUCUCUCUCUUGACGUUUUUCCCCCAAUAACAGUGCGGGAACUGUUUCAAUGCUCCGCUAGUUUGCAGCUUCCAUGAAGAAUAGAGAUAUGGCGAUCCGUCAUUCUGCACCUUGUGUUGCCGUGCAUAAGCAAGCAUCAUAGGAUGCCAAAACCUUAGUUAUAUCUUCUUUGUUCUGUAUGGAUGAAGUACAGCUGGACUCUUAACUUGUCUUUUCACUUGUGUCUUCUUUUAGUUUUAUGUUAUGUUGUAUGUAUAGACGAAGAAACGUCUUAGGGGCAGCAAAUGUAAGAACCAAAAAUGUUUGUGACGGCAGUCAGUGGAUAUCCCCUGGAUACCUGUUAAGGUACAACACAUGCUAUGUGUUGCCAUUUGUCCUCUAGUUCAAUGCAGAGCAUAUACUCUGUGAAUGUGCCUGUUGUAACAAUUGAACACUUGUGAAAUAACAUUUUAAGAUGACUUAUAUUGCAAUAUUAUUAUUUUUUACAUGUGUUUUGGCAUGCGGUUAUCAUCUUUGCUUAUGGGUGUGUCCGUGAUGAAUAUUUGAUUUUUAAUCUGAAUUAUACCUGGGCGUAAGAAUCUAUUUAGUCUGAAUUGUGUAUUGAAUGUGUAUGUAAAAGAAAGGCCGUAAUGAAGAGUUAUUUGCUAUAAACUGUUUAAAAGCAUAAGAAACAUUGAAAAUAAUGUACAGGACCACUCAUUUUUAUUUUUCUAGCUGAAAAUAUGGAUUCUACAAACAAACUAUUAAUCAACAGUAUAACGAAUUAUAAAACUGUAUAUUUUCUAUGGGUCUGUGUGUUUAGUAUUAAAUGUACAACAGUCCAGGAUUACUUAACAUAUUCUGUACAUAAUAUAAAUGUAUAUCAAUAAUCUAUAUCUGACCCUAAAUUACAAAUAUUGAAUGCCAAAUUCUCA